Schistocerca cancellata (South American locust) is the source of this 622-nucleotide long non-coding RNA. RefSeq lists it as uncharacterized. The transcript has 2 exons. The record is from RefSeq and is a predicted model, not a curated record. Lineage: Eukaryota; Metazoa; Arthropoda; Insecta; Orthoptera; Acrididae.
UGAGUUGGCGAUUAUUCGUACCUCCUUAGAGUUCGCCGGAACCACAAAAAGCGAAACAAGCAAAAGAAAAUCAUUUCCGUUACUGGUGCAGAUUGUAGACUUAGACACUGUCCAUACGAUAUAGGUCUGCUGUAUCAAUUUGUGCUGAUCAGUACUUAAUUAAAGAGUAAUACAAUUGCGAAGAAUAUUGAAUGUUUUUGUCGUACAGUGAACUGAGGAUGAAGAUAUCUACAUACCAGAGGCCAUCACCAGGUGCCAUUGAAGAAAUCAGCACAUUACUUACCUCUACAAGCAGCAUCCGAAGUUGACCUAUGCACUGAAAAACCAUGUCAUCGUUGUUGUAUGAUUUUAUUGAUGAGGUAAGCUAUAAAAUGAGGUGAAAGGAAGGCAUUGCAAAAAUUCUUUUGUAUAAAAAAAUUCAAAUCGUAAAACAAUAAAAGCUGGAAUCACUUUAAUCACAACAGUAGUAUUUGUUCGCACUUCAUUUUGUUAACACAAACAACACAUCUUACAAAUUUUGUUGUCAAUAACAUAGCAUAGUUCUUGAUAAGCCUGUCCUGAAGUUCUAAGGAGUCUUUGUAUUCAGGUCUAAUUUCCUUCAAAUAAAAUUUUCUGAAUGAAA